Molecule: ribosomal RNA, 403 nt
Filed under: uncultured bacterium
Lineage: Bacteria
Description: bacterial SSU rRNA
Rfam family: Bacterial small subunit ribosomal RNA
Source: RNAcentral
CAGGGAAUAUUAGAAAUGGACGAAAGUCUGAUCUAGCAACACCGCGUGUGCGAAGAAGGCCUUCGGGUUGUAAAGCACUUUUUGGAAGGAUUAGGAAGGAAUGUACUUCCAGAAUAAGUCUCGGCUAACUACGUGCCAGCAGCCGCGGUAACGCGUAGGAGGCAAACGUUAUCCGGAUUUACUGGGCGUAAAGCGCGUGUAGGUGGUUCUGUAAGUAGGGCGUGAAAGCUCCUGGCUCAACUGGGAGAGGCCGUUCUAAACUGCAGAGCUAGAGGAUGGUAGAGGGAGGUGGAAUUCCGGGUGUAGCGGUGGAAUGCGCAGAUAUCCGGAGGAACACCAGUGGCGAAAGCGGCCUCCUGGACCAUUCCUGACACUCAGACGCGAAAGCUGGGGUAGCAAACGG